RNAcentral lists this small nuclear RNA (107 nucleotides) under Cebus imitator (Panamanian white-faced capuchin). The record is from RNAcentral. Lineage: Eukaryota; Metazoa; Chordata; Mammalia; Primates; Cebidae.
GUGCUUGCUUCGGCAGCACAUAUACUAAAAUUGGAACGAUACAGAGAAGAUGAGCAUGGCCCCUGCGCAAGAAUGACACACAAAUUCGUGACGUGUUCCAUAUUUUU